CAGCAGCCGCGGGAAUACAGAGGGUGCAAGCGUUAAUCGGAAUUACUGGGCGUAAAGCGCGCGUAGGUGGUUUGUUAAGUUGGAUGUGAAAUCCCCGGGCUCAACCUGGGAACUGCAUCCAAAACUGGCAAGCUAGAGUAUGGUAGAGGGUGGUGGAAUUUCCUGUGUAGCGGUGAAAUGCGUAGAUAUAGGAAGGAACACCAGUGGCGAAGGCGACCACCUGGACUGAUACUGACACUGAGGUGCGAAAGCGUGGGAGCAAACAGGAUUAGAUACCCGUGUAGUCCCUGUCUCUUAUACA
RNAcentral lists this ribosomal RNA (301 nucleotides) under uncultured bacterium. RNAcentral's name for it is "partial 16S ribosomal RNA". It matches the Rfam family "Bacterial small subunit ribosomal RNA", at positions 509 to 808 of the family's 1533-position model. The record is from RNAcentral.